AGCGAACGUUUGCGGCGGGCCUAACACAUGCAAGUCGAACGGGCAGUCCCUUCGGGGGCUGUCAGUGGCGCACGGGUGCGUAACACGUAGGUAAUCAACCCUCGGGUUCGGGAUAACACUUCGAAAGGGGUGCUAAUACCGGAUGCGACGAGCGUCUCCUCGGAGAUGCACGGGAAAGAUCCGCAAGGGUCGCCCGAGGACGAGCCUGCGGCCCAUCAGCUUGUUGGUGAGGUAAUGGCUCACCAAGGCUAAGACGGGUAGCUGGUCUGAGAGGAUGAUCAGUCACACUGGAACUGAGUCACGGUCCAGACUCCUACGGGAGGCAGCAGUGGGGAAUAUUGCGCAAUGGGCGAAAGCCUGACGCAGCCACGCCGCGUGAGCGAUGAAGGCC
This 391-nucleotide ribosomal RNA is filed under the name uncultured bacterium. Its description in RNAcentral is "bacterial SSU rRNA". It matches the Rfam family "Bacterial small subunit ribosomal RNA", at positions 29 to 416 of the family's 1533-position model. The record is from RNAcentral.